This 505-nucleotide ribosomal RNA is filed under the name uncultured bacterium. Its description in RNAcentral is "partial 16S ribosomal RNA". It matches the Rfam family "Bacterial small subunit ribosomal RNA", at positions 28 to 507 of the family's 1533-position model. The record is from RNAcentral.
GACGAACGCUGGCGGCGUGCCUAAUACAUGCAAGUAGAACGCACAGUUUAUACCGUAGCUUGCUACACCAUAGACUGUGAGUUGCGAACGGGUGAGUAACGCGUAGGUAACCUGCCUGGUAGCGGGGGAUAACUAUUGGAAACGAUAGCUAAUACCGCAUAAUAUUAAUUAUUGCAUGAUAAUUAAUUGAAAGGUGCAAUUGCACCACUACCAGAUGGACCUGCGUUGUAUUAGCUAGUAGGUGAGGUAACGGCUCACCUAGGCGACGAUACAUAGCCGACCUGAGAGGGUGAUCGGCCACACUGGGACUGAGACACGGCCCAGACUCCUACGGGAGGCAGCAGGAGGGAAUCUUCGGCAAUGAACGAAAGUCUGACCGAGCAACGCCGCGUGAGUGAAGAAGGUUUUCGGAUCGUAAAGCUCUGUUGUAAGAGAAGAACGGGUGUGAGAGUGGAGAGUUCACACUGUGACGGUAUCUUACCAGAAAGGGACGGCUAACUACGUG